This 641-nucleotide ribosomal RNA is filed under the name uncultured Lachnospiraceae bacterium. Its description in RNAcentral is "bacterial SSU rRNA". It matches the Rfam family "Bacterial small subunit ribosomal RNA", at positions 64 to 719 of the family's 1533-position model. Lineage: Bacteria; Bacillati; Bacillota; Clostridia; Lachnospirales; Lachnospiraceae. The record is from RNAcentral.
UUAUUGAAACUUCGGUCGAUAUGAUUUAAUUCUAGUGGCGGACGGGUGAGUAUCGCGUGGGUAACCUGCCUUGUACAGGGGGAUAACAGUCAGAAAUGACUGCUAAUACCGCAUAAGCGCACAGAGCUGCAUGGCUCGGUGUGAAAAACUCCGGUGGUAUAAGAUGGACCCGCGUUGGAUUAGCUAGUUGGUGAGGUAACGGCCCACCAAGGCGACGAUCCAUAGCCGGCCUGAGAGGGUGAACGGCCACAUUGGGACUGAGACACGGCCCAGACUCCUACGGGAGGCAGCAGUGGGGAAUAUUGCACAAUGGGGGAAACCCUGAUGCAGCGACGCCGCGUGAAGGAAGAAGUAUCUCGGUAUGUAAACUUCUAUCAGCAGGGAAGAAUUAGGACGGUACCUGACUAAGAAGCCCCGGCUAACUACGUGCCAGCAGCCGCGGUAAUACGUAGGGGGCAAGCGUUAUCCGGAUUUACUGGGUGUAAAGGGAGCGUAGACGGAUGGACAAGUCUGAUGUGAAAGGCUGGGGCUCAACCCCGGGACUGCAUUGGAAACUGCCCGUCUUGAGUGCCGGAGAGGUUAGCGGAAUUCCUAGUGUAGCGGUGAAAUGCGUAGAUAUUAGGAGGUACACCAGUGGCGAA